CUCUUCCUGGGUGUAAACUGCGAUUCAAAAAGCCAGGUGGGAAGCCCUGUAGUAGGGACUCUGGCUUUGUCCCUGUUUCCCCCUUUUCUUCCUCUUCACCCACUAAAACCCUGUUUUACUCACGGUUCAAAUUGUUUGGCAGCCUGAAUUUUCAUGGCCAUGGGACAAAGAACCCCGUCUUUAGCUGAAUUAAGGAAAAGUUCUGCAACAUUUUUGACGUGCAACUUGGGGGCUCAAGCGGAGAAGCGUUCCUCCAAGAAGAAGAAGAAAAAAAAAGGAAGAGGAAGAGGAGGAGAAAAAGGAGAAGAGGUGGGCCCAAUUCCUGCCAGUGAGCCCAAUUCCUGCCAGUGAAACCCAUUAGCAAUAUGCAGCAUAGAACUUCUCAUAGACAUUUUAAUUCCUCAAUAGCAAAUUUGAAUGGUGAACCAAGAAAUGUGAGGUAAGCCUGAAUCUGAAAAAACAGCAAAAAGGAAAUCAAAAGUCUUAGUGCUAUUACAUAGAAGAAGAAACUGUUGAAUAAACCUUAUUAUCUUGAAGAUAAGAAAAAAAUUUGGCUGCCACAAAACAAUAACAUAAUGCUUGUUUUGAAGAAGUUUUAAAGAAUAAGAGUCAUCAGAACUUUAAAAUACCAAAACAGAAUUUACAAAGUCCAUUAGAAGAGUUGGAAGAUUAUAUUAAGGAAGCUCAAGAAAACAAAACAAAAACAAACUUAAAGCUAUCCUAUCACUCAAUCUGUGGCUGUAGAUGGGACUGUUGCAACCAGUACUAGGGACACAAAUGGAAUCAGGGCUGGGAAAGCCAUCCCCAGUACCGAACCAGGUAGUGCAACUGGGACCACAGAGCCUAUAUUGGUGGCACAGUUACAGACUGGGUAGGGCACUCCAUUUCCUGCCCCCAUCCCUGUGGUUCCAGCAAGCCAGGUUUCUCCACUUUCUGCAAGUCCAUUUUUGGCUACUUCCAAUAACUAUGUUCUUUUAUUGAAUAUAGUAAUAUAAUAUUUUAAUAAAAAUGUAAAUAGGACAUUCAAUGCAGCUUUUAUUACUAAUAGGCAAAGUCCUUGCCGGGUGAGGUGGCUCACACCUGUAAUCCCAGCACUUUGGGAGGCCGAGGCAGGCGGAUUACCUGAGGUCGGGACUUCGAGACCAACCUGACCAACAUGGAGAAACCCCGUCUCUACUAAAAACACAAAAUCAUCCGGGCGCACACCUGUAAUCCCAACUACUUGGAAGGCUGAGGCAGGAGAAUCACUUGAACGCAGGAGGCAGAGGUUGCAGUGAGCUGAGAUCAUGCCAUUGCACUGCAGCCUGGGCAACAAGAGUGAAACUCCGUCUCAAACAAACAAACAAAAAAUAGGCAAAGUCCCAUAUUAAGAGGACAUAUCUAAUUUCUAUGAUUAUUUUUACUGAUUUAACAAAAGACAAAAUGGAUGAAGAAAAAAGACUAUUUAGAAGGUCAAUGAAAAUUUGGAGAGGGGUCAACAAUAUUUGAAGAAGAAUGAACUUGCCAAGAGGAGACAGAUGCAACUAGAAUAUUUACUGCGUGUCUGAAUCUGCUAAAACAUGAAGCAGCAUUGCCUGCAUCUUCUAUUCCUUCUAUCAAGGAUCAAAACUGUAUUAGUCAGGGUUCUCUAAAGGGUCAGAACUAAUAGGAUACAUGUAUAGAUGAAGGGGAUUUCAUUAGGAGAACUGACUCACAUGAUCACAAAGUGAAGACCCACAAUAGGCCCUCUGCAAGCUGAGGAGCAAGGAAGCCAGUGCGGGUCCCAAAACCUCAAAAGCAAGGAAGCUGAAGGUUCAGCCUUCAGUCUGUGGCCAAAAGCCUGAGAACCCCAGCAAACCACUGGUGUAAAUCCAAGAGUCCAAAAGCUGAAGAAGUUGGAGUCUGACGUUCCAAGGCCGGAAGAAUCCAGCACAGGAGAAAAGAUGAAGGCUGGAAGAUUCAGCAAGUCUGCUCAUUCCACUUUCUUCUGCCUGCUUUAUUUUAGCCAUGCUGGCAGCUGAUUAGAUGGUGCCCAUCCAGAUUGAGGGUGGGUCUUCCUCUCCCAGUCCACUGAUUCAAAUAUUAAUCUCCUUUGGCAACACUCUCACAGAUCCACCCAGGAACAAUGCUUUACAUCCUUCAAUCCAAUCAAGUUGACACUCAAUAUCAGCAAUCAUAAAGACUAUGCUGAGAACUAUGAAUGGCUACUUUUCCACUCACUAUUAAAUAUAGUAAUCAGAACUUAAUAUUUAUUCUCAGAUUACUUAUAUCUUUAUACUUAGAAAAAUCCAUUAUUUUCCUUACAUAUGGAUUUUUAAAAUCUUCCAUUAAGUGCUGACCUGUCCAGGCCAACCUUACUAAAAAUAUGCUUAAUGUUGAUAGCUUAUGCAUAGGCAUUAAUAUUCAAGGAUGUUCUCUUUGUUAAAAAGUAUUUCUACUUUUAAUUUUAUACAUUUUCAAUGUAUUUCACAAACAUUUAUUCUUUAACUGAUAAAGCCCUUUGGCUUUAUAUAAGUGCAAAUCCAACAUUUCCUUUUGGAAUGAACGGUUAAAUUGCAGUGCCUUUGUCUUUCUCCUAUGUAAAAUAAAUUUACAAAAUGAAUGUGCAUAAAUCCAACAAAUAAAGGUAUAUAAAACAACCCUCAUAAGUAAUUAAUGGUAAGGGUAGGUACUGUGGGAUGAAACAAUCUGCACAUUUUUCCAUAAAAUAUUUACAGUUGUUUAUAUGUUAGCAUCAAUACUUAUGGAAUAAUUUCUCCAGAUUGUUUUCCAUCUAUAAAUCAAGACAUUGCUUUAUUGCUGAUUCCACAUGCAGUGAGCUCUCAGUCCUAUAUUUUUCUAAGCAUUUCCUAUUACCUACAAUAUUUUCUAAAAAUGAUUAACAUCACAAAUUCCUUUAUUGCACUUUCA
Molecule: long non-coding RNA, 2889 nt
Filed under: Homo sapiens (human)
Lineage: Eukaryota; Metazoa; Chordata; Mammalia; Primates; Hominidae
Description: HSALNT0297116
Source: RNAcentral